ACCUAAUAGAUACCCCGGUACGUCCACGCCCUAAACGAUGCGAACUGGAUGUUGGGUACAUUACGGUACUCAGUGUCGAAAGCUAAACGCGUUAAGUUCGCCGCCUGGGGAGUACGGUCGCAAGACUGAAACUCAAAGGAAUUGACGGGGGCCCGGCACAAGCGGUGGAGUAUGUGGUUUAAUUCGAUGCAACGCGAAGAACCUUACCUCGGCCUUGACAUCUGUCGAAUCCUGCAGAGAUGCGGGAGUGCCGCAAGGAACGACAAGACAGGUGCUGCAUGGCUGUCGUCAGCUCGUGUCGUGAGAUGUUGGG
Molecule: ribosomal RNA, 313 nt
Filed under: uncultured bacterium
Lineage: Bacteria
Description: bacterial SSU rRNA
Rfam family: Bacterial small subunit ribosomal RNA
Source: RNAcentral